Molecule: transfer RNA, 71 nt
Filed under: Candidatus Pacearchaeota archaeon RBG_13_36_9
Lineage: Archaea; Nanobdellati
Description: tRNA-Ala
Rfam family: tRNA
About the family: Transfer RNA (tRNA) molecules are approximately 80 nucleotides in length. Their secondary structure includes four short double-helical elements and three loops (D, anti-codon, and T loops).
Source: RNAcentral
GGGCUCGUCAUUCAACGGCAGGAUGCAAGAUUCGCAUUCUUGACAUUCGGGUUCAAUUCCCGACGAGUCCA